AGCGAACGCUGGCGGCAGGCUUAACACAUGCAAGUCGAGCGGGCAUCUUCGGAUGUCAGCGGCAGACGGGUGAGUAACACGUGGGAACGUACCCUUCGGUUCGGAACAACUCUGGGAAACUGGAGCUAAUACCGGAUACGCCCUUAUGGGGAAAGGUUUACUGCCGAAGGAUCGGCCCGCGUCUGAUUAGCUUGUUGGUGGGGUAACGGCCUACCAAGGCGACGAUCAGUAGCUGGUCUGAGAGGAUGAUCAGCCACACUGGGACUGAGACACGGCCGAGACUCCUACGGGAGGCAGCAGUGGGGAAUAUUGGAAAAUGGGGGCAAGCCUGAUCCAGCCAUGCCGCGUGAGUGAUGAAGGCCUUAGGGUUGUAAAGCUCUUGUGUCCGGGACGAUAAUGACGGUACCGGAAGAAUAAGCCCCGGCUAACUUCGUG
This 435-nucleotide ribosomal RNA is filed under the name uncultured bacterium. Its description in RNAcentral is "partial 16S ribosomal RNA". It matches the Rfam family "Bacterial small subunit ribosomal RNA", at positions 29 to 507 of the family's 1533-position model. The record is from RNAcentral.